AAUUCGAGACUAUGAUCGUAUGCUUCUCCCAUCGAAUCUCAUCCGAAAGGAAAUCGAUUCCUCGGUGACAACCUCCUACCGCUCUAUUAUCGCCACUAAACGCCCGCAACCCUGUAGUGUAGUAUGAGGAAUUUGGGCUUUGAUUUCUAUCACCAACAAGUCUGCCGUCAAUUACCGCCACGAAACAUGUGAGCAAUUUCGGUGAGUGGUUGAUUCUUUCAAUUUCCUUAUGACUUUGGUCCAAUUGCUCAUCUUUCUAAUCCUUAUAUGUUUUUGAGCGAUGUUUUCGACUUUUUGGGUUUGAGUAUCAACAUCCUGUCCAAAAAUCAAGAUCCGGUUUCUGUCACCAACAACGUCUGCCGUCGCCGUCAAUUACCGCCACCAAACAUCAGCCACCAAACGCCUGUUCUACGUUAUUGUUCACAAUUCGUAAAAGCUUUCUUCAAAUGCCUCCAAAACGACGACAUAUGGCUUCUACUUCCAAUACAAUAGUACCCUGUCGUUCACAUCGAUCACGCAGGAGUUCACUUUUAGAGGAGAUACCAGCAUUGCCUUUUUAUUAUGACUGUGGAAAUUGUACUUGCGUAUGUGAGUAUUGUGGGGGCUUUUUUGAUAUCAUGAGAGAGUAUUGUAUUUAUCCCGAGCCAAUCAUCCACGAUAUACGAAAUGUUGUAAGUCAGAGCAAUCUCCUCAAACAUGGAUAGAAUAUCAAACCUUCAAUUUGGUUCACCAGGAAAUUCACUUGAAAUUCAUGUCUUGCGAAAAUGGACACUACAAUUUAGAAAGGACGAGACAUGGUUUAUCGUGAUUGAUGAGCAUGGAGAUACAAUUCAGCUACUUGCACAAAAGACAAAUCAACGAUGCAUAGAAACUUCAUUAGUAGUCUCUCGAUGUUAUCGUAUUAAGGACUAUACAUGCACUGAGCUAGACAAAUAUCAAAAGGUGUUAAAUCACCCAGUACACAUGAAUAUUGGUGAAGCAUCAACAAUUGAGGAAAUUCCAAACCACAGUGUCAUUCCUCUAACAUGGUUCCGCUUCGGUCCGAGAUCACACUUUCAAAUAAUAGCAGACAAAAACUUGGAGC
Molecule: non-coding RNA, 1084 nt
Organism: Lactuca sativa (garden lettuce)
Lineage: Eukaryota; Viridiplantae; Streptophyta; Magnoliopsida; Asterales; Asteraceae
Source: RefSeq, a predicted model, not a curated record